CCUGUGAAAUAACAGGAUUAUAAAAUGUGCUUCAUUGUCAUGCAGCAUUUUAUUUUAAAUUUUGAAAGCAAAGAUGUGAGUUUAGCUUCAAGUUGUGCUUUUUCUUCUUAUUAAUCCCACGUUUACAUGUUAAGACCAAACUUUACCAACUGAGGCGGGAACCAACAUAACAACGACGUAUCUGCAAACAUGAAGCCCUACAAAAAUUUUAGAUUUAUUAUAACGAUAAUAUUUACCUCACUGAAAUGGCUUACUGCGACACGUGUUUUCCCAGAAUGCAACAGUUCUGUAUCUUAACUUCUUCCCACCCCUUUUUUGCUCCGGAAAGCGAAGACGGACAAAUGAGGCAAAACGCGAACAGUGAAGGUGAGGGUAUGUAAAAAUGUACACAGAUGCGUCCAGGGCCCGUUUCAAGAAGGAGGUUUUGUGGAAACUCUGAGUUUUUAACCCCGAAAUGAGGAAAACUCAGAGUUUUCGGUUUCAGAGUCAGUUACUAUGGCAACUGACUCUGUGAACCAAACCUGGUCGCGAGCAGGUUUUAUUCGGGAAACCCAGAGUUUCCUUCGGUCUCCGCCCCUUUUUAAAGUGAACACUGUUUAAAUACCUCAUUUAAUCUUUCAGUUCAUUCAUAGAUUUCACCUGUUUCCUUCGCGCAGAGACCAAAAUGUCCGUUUCUAGAGGAUCCUGUAGAUGAGGACGCUGUAUUAAUUCACACGGCAUUGAAUUUACGCCGCGAGAGGAUUUUAACGCCAUGAGUUAAUUUGCUGUCAUGUUCCCGUGCAUAUUUAUUUGAGCGGUACCGUCUUCUCCAUAUAUUAAUAAUCUUAUCCACACAUACGUCAAACACAUCAGCCAUCGUGGCCGUGCUUUUACAUCCGAGCACAUUCUUUGUGUUGCGUUACGUUUUUUUCCUAACGGUAGUUUUCUUUAUAACAUUGGAGACGCUGAGCACAUUAGUGAAGCCACUGUUUGUAGAAAAGUUCGACCUCAAGCGCUUUCACGACACAAACUCCCUAAAGCCAUUAAAGAGGAGUUUCACAGGAUUGCAGAUCAUAUGUGAUGCUGCACAUAUUAUUACAAACGUGGAGGCCAAGUGGCCCAGCUCUGGUCAUGACUCAUCAAUAUAUCGUGAUUCAACCCUAAGUAGCAGGCUGCACUGUGGUAAGUACAUGUAUGUCCUAUACACUCAUUUCAAUGCAUACACUCGUACUCACAGGAGCACUUCUAUGUAGCAAUAAAGUAAUGAGAACUUUCUUCUAGGAGAGAUUGACGGCUUUCUGCUGGAGAUAGGGGUUAAUGGCAGCCCACACUACUGACCCCUCACCCAGAACCUGAAGCAGAACCCCAGCAGCGCUUUAAUGUGGCCCUGCAGAACAAGAGCCCGGGUGGAAAUGACCAUAGGCCUGUUGAAAGCACGCCUUCAGUGCCUACGUCACCUCAGGGAAACACCUGAGAGGUCUUAUUAUUAUUAUUACUAUUACCUCAGGGAAACACCUGAGAGGCCUGUGAAAUUAUUGUGGCAUGUGUUGUUCUCCACAUUAUUGCAAUUAUUAGAGAGGAGCAACACCCUGCCCUACAAAUACAAGACCCUGAGGAGACUCCUUCCAUCACAGUAAUCUGCAGAGUGGAUGGACAGUCAGAGAUGUGAUUUGCUGUAAUGUCUUAAUCAGCCAUCACCACCACCAAUAAAAGAAACUGAAUAAAUGCAAAUCAUAA
Long non-coding RNA from Betta splendens (Siamese fighting fish), 1716 nucleotides. RefSeq lists it as uncharacterized. The record is from RefSeq and is a predicted model, not a curated record. Lineage: Eukaryota; Metazoa; Chordata; Actinopteri; Anabantiformes; Osphronemidae. The transcript has 2 exons.